This 253-nucleotide ribosomal RNA is filed under the name uncultured bacterium. RNAcentral describes it as "partial 16S ribosomal RNA". It matches the Rfam family "Bacterial small subunit ribosomal RNA", at positions 524 to 776 of the family's 1533-position model. The record is from RNAcentral.
UACGGAGGGUGCAAGCGUUGUCCGGAUUUAUUGGGUUUAAAGGGUGCGUAGGUGGGUUGGUAAGUCAGUGGUGAAAUCCCCGAGCUUAACUUGGGAACUGCCAUUGAUACUAUCAGUCUUGAAUACCGUGGAGGUCAGCGGAAUAUGUCAUGUAGCGGUGAAAUGCUUAGAUAUGACAUAGAACACCAAUUGCGAAGGCAGCUGGCUACACGAAUAUUGACACUCAGGCACGAAAGCGUGGGGAUCAAACAGG